This 221-nucleotide ribosomal RNA is filed under the name Thraustochytriidae sp. RNAcentral describes it as "Thraustochytriaceae sp. partial small subunit ribosomal RNA". It matches the Rfam family "Eukaryotic small subunit ribosomal RNA", at positions 1065 to 1285 of the family's 1831-position model. The record is from RNAcentral. Lineage: Eukaryota; Bigyra; Thraustochytrida; Thraustochytriidae.
ACACUGUUCAUGUGGGCAGCAGCACAUGAGAAAUCAAAGUCUUUGGGUUCCGGGGGGAGUAUGGUCGCAAGGCUGAAACUUAAAGGAAUUGACGGAAGGGCACCACCAGGAGUGGAGCCUGCGGCUUAAUUUGACUCAACACGGGAAAACUUACCAGGUCCAGACAUAGGAAGGAUUGACAGAUUGAGAGCUCUUUCUUGAUUCUAUGGGUGGUGGUGCAU